GUCUUGAACACCUAUCUCAAUCACCAACACCUUCAUCCCUAAUCGAACAUCAUCAUCGUCAUCUCCAAUCAUGCCACCUUCUGCAUCAUCAGUGUUAAUGAACUCGAUGGAUUGUCUUACCAAACUAUCAAUGAUUUGCAUCAUCCAUCGAUUGAAGAAGGUAGAAAUUUCGAGACUAAACCAUUCCUACCUAGGGUUUCGAGACACAGUAACGUUCACGAGAUUGUUCUUCCGUUAGUUAUGGCUAGUUAUGUUUCUUAUCAGCAACGUCGUCGUCGUGUUAUAUGUGAAUCGUUUGGGUAUAAUUUCUGCAUAUGUAGAUUAACAUGGUGAGAGAAGUAAGGUCAACAAAACUUCAAGAAAGCACUACACAUGAAGGAACAUUUCAGAAAAAAUGGCACAUUCUACUGUUGGUUAUAAAAUGACAAAGAGUGCUUUGGGAGGUCAGUUGUAGAAGACCAUAAAAUGAUACGGAGAUUGUACUUUAGAAAGCGAAUAUUCACCGAGAAGAUGUGAUCAAGAAUUUCGUUUGAGAGAAAACGAAAUGGCUAAGUAUUUUGUUAUGGUGCUUUCUGAUGAUCUGCAAAGUAGAAGUGAUGUUACUGGAUCUUGGUUUGUUGUUCGUACUGAAGUCUAAAACUGCUAAGAUCCUACAAUGAGCAGUGUGUAGCGAUACAAAAUUUAUGACAUAUUAGCAAUAUACAUUAUGUUUUUAAAGCAGCUGACAUAUAAUUUUUGUAUGUAUCCUUGGAGUUUGUUGUCGAAGGCCCAUCAGCAGGUUCACCUGCUGUUACUCGAGUCUGGGAAUAGGUCCUUUUCGCUGCUGCACAAACACUGGAGCUGGCUACAUCAGUUAAACAAGUUGAAUUGCAGUGGGUACUUUUGGUGUCCGACUAUAUUUAGGCUACAAGCCCGACCCGGGUUUAAAUUGCGUAGCUUUGAAAUGGUUAUGUCUGGGAUUAUGAAGACCCACCACAAGGGUAUAGUGCUGAUGAGUUUGGGCCCUUGCAGCGUGCUGGGCUCAGCUAGUAAGAUGAUGUUGCAAGCCUACUAGUUAGGUGGAUGUGAUAUCUGGAAAAUGUUGGUUUUGAAGGCCCACAUAUGGGUUGUUUGGAUGCAAACUGGGCAUUGAAACAUCUCUAUUUUGCUUUCUCUGAAGUCCACUAAAAGGGAUAUAUGGGCUACUAUUGAGGAUAUAAAGGCUGAGCUUUUUCGAAGUUGUAUGGGCCCGGGCUUUAUGGUGUAUUGGAAGGCUGUUUUUGUGUUAUCUAUGCUGGCAUGGACAAAGGCUGGAGCUGGUAUACACAGCCAUGACCUCGGUUCUCUGCUGAAGGCCCAAGUCGGGUCUAUUACGCAGGCUCAAGUGGUCCAGUUUUAGGUUUAUAAAAUGCAACUUAAAGGUAUGAAGGUCAUGGCGUUGCUGAUUUAUUUGGGCCUUGGUUUUGUGACUCAGUUGAAGGCCCGUGGUUGGGUUUUACAAGCCCAAGCUUGUUUGCUUCUGCCGCAGAAGCUAAAGGCCCAUCUCUGGUUUUUCGGAUGUUCUUAGGGUCCAGUAAAAGCCUUGUUACUCGGUUUCUAAAGGCCUAAAGAAAGCGGAUAAUUUUUCAUGGCUGCUUCAGUUUGGAGUGGGUCACUAUGUGUUGUCAUCGGCAAGAAACCAUCGGCGGAAAAUACUUCUUAGGCAUGCCUCGUGUUGCUCGGAACAUUUAUAAUUUUGUAACAUUGAUAGGAUAAUAGAGUGUAUGUAUAUCACUCUAAGUCAUGUUUGGUUCUUUUGUACCCCGAGACAAGGAUGCAUGGUUUCGUAUUUGUGGUCCCCAAAGCAUGUUUUGGGGAUGAUACGGGGGAAUGCCCCCAAGAUGGUGUAAUUAUUUUUUGUGUGUUUAUAUAGUUUGCCGAGCGAUGCCCUUUAUC
Molecule: long non-coding RNA, 1914 nt
Organism: Helianthus annuus (common sunflower)
Lineage: Eukaryota; Viridiplantae; Streptophyta; Magnoliopsida; Asterales; Asteraceae
Exons: 3
Source: RefSeq, a predicted model, not a curated record